GAUGAACGCUGGCGGCGUGCCUAAUACAUGCAAGUCGAGCGAACAGACGAGGAGCUUGCUCCUCUGACGUUAACGGCGGACGGGUGAGUAACACGUGGAUAACCUACCUAUAAGACUGGGAUAAAUUCGGGAAAACGGAGCUAAUACCGGAUAAUAUAUUGAACCGCAUGGUUCAAUAGUGAAAGACGGUUUUGCUGUCACUUAUAGAUGGAUCCGCGCCGCAUUAGCUAGUUGGUAAGGUAACGGCUUACCAAGGCAACGAUGCGUAGCCGACCUGAGAGGGUGAUCGGCCACACUGGAACUGAGACACGGUCCAGACUCCUACGGGAGGCAGCAGUAGGGAAUCUUCCGCAAUGGGCGAAAGCCUGACGGAGCAACGCCGCGUGAGUGAUGAAGGUCUUCGGAUCGUAAAACUCUGUUAUUAGGGAAGAACAAAUGUGUAAGUAACUAUGCACGUCUUGACGGUACCUAAUCAGAAAGCCACGGCUAACUACGUG
RNAcentral lists this ribosomal RNA (497 nucleotides) under uncultured bacterium. Its description in RNAcentral is "partial 16S ribosomal RNA". It matches the Rfam family "Bacterial small subunit ribosomal RNA", at positions 28 to 507 of the family's 1533-position model. The record is from RNAcentral.